CCUACGGGAGGCAGCAGUAAGGAAUAUUGGUCAAUGGAGGCAACUCUGAACCAGCCAUGCCGCGUGCAGGAUGACGGCCCUAUGGGUUGUAAACUGCUUUUAUACAAGAGAAAACCCUGGUACGUGUACCAGGUUGAUAGUAUUGUAAGAAUAAGCAUCGGCUGACUUCGUGCCAGCAGCCGCGGUAAGACGAAGGAUGCAAGCGUUAUCCGGAUUCAUUGGGUUUAAAGGGUGCGUAGGCGGACUGAUAAGUCAGUGGUGAAAUCUCUUUGCCUAACAAAGAAACUGCCAUUGAUACUGUCGGUCUAGAGUAUAGAUGACGUUGGCGGAAUAUGACAUGUAGUGGUGAAAUACUUAGAUAUGUCAUAGAACACCGAUUGCGAAGGCAGCUAACGAAACUAUAACUGACGCUGAGGCACGAAAGUGCGGGGAUCAAACAGGAUUAGAUACCCUGGUAGUCCGCACCGUAAACGAUGAUUACUCGUUGUUGGCGAUAUGACAGUCAGCGACCAAGCGAAAGCGAUAAGUAAUCCACCUGGGGAGUACGCCGGCAACGGUGAAACGUCAAAGGAAUUGACGGCGNGAGAGNGCGAGGACGACACGAGGGAGAGG
Molecule: ribosomal RNA, 612 nt
Filed under: uncultured bacterium
Lineage: Bacteria
Description: bacterial SSU rRNA
Rfam family: Bacterial small subunit ribosomal RNA
Source: RNAcentral